This 1534-nucleotide ribosomal RNA is filed under the name uncultured bacterium. Its description in RNAcentral is "bacterial SSU rRNA". It matches the Rfam family "Bacterial small subunit ribosomal RNA". The record is from RNAcentral.
AGAGUUUGAUCCUGGCUCAGGACGAACGCUGGCGGCGUGCCUAACACAUGCAAGUCGUGCGGACCGGGCCUGCCGAAUCCUUCGGGAGGACGCGGGAAACCGGUUAGCGGCGGACGGGUGAGUAACGCGUGGGCAACCUACCCAUAAAACCGGGAUAACUCCGGGAAACCGGGGCUAAUACCGGAUACACCCUUAGAGCCGCAUGGUUUUAAGGGGAAAGGUGGCCUCUGAUGCAAGCUACCGAUUAUGGAUGGGCCCGCGUCUGAUUAGCUAGUUGGUGAGGUAAUGGCUCACCAAGGCGACGAUGGGUAGCCGGCCUGAGAGGGUGACCGGCCACACUGGGACUGAGACACGGCCCAGACUCCUACGGGAGGCAGCAGUGGGGAAUAUUGGGCAAUGGGGGGAGCCCUGACCCAGCAACGCCGCGUGAGCGAAGAAGGCCUUCGGGUUGUAAAGCUCUGUCAACGGGGAAGAAGUCAUUUACCUGAACAAGGUAAGUGGUGACGGUACCCGUGGAGGAAGCCACGGCUAACUACGUGCCAGCAGCCGCGGUAAAACGUAGGUGGCGAGCGUUGUCCGGAAUUACUGGGCGUAAAGGGCGCGUAGGCGGUCUGGUAAGUCAGGAGUGAAAGGCCUGGGCUCAACCGAGGCAUUGCUUCUGAAACUGUCGGACUUGAGGGCAGGAGAGGUAGGUGGAAUUCCUAGUGUAGCGGUGAAAUGCGUAGAUAUUAGGAGGAACACCAGUGGCGAAGGCGACCUACUGGCCUGGCCCUGACGCUGAGGCGCGAAAGCGUGGGGAGCGAACAGGAUUAGAUACCCUGGUAGUCCACGCCGUAAACGAUGAGUGCUAGGUGUUGGGGGUCAUACCUUCAGUGCCGCAGUUAACACAUUAAGCACUCCGCCUGGGGAGUACGGUUGCAAGACUGAAACUCAAAGGAAUUGACGGGGACCCGCACAAGCAGCGGAGCAUGUGGUUUAAUUCGAAGCAACGCGAAGAACCUUACCAAGACUUGACAUCCCCCGGACCGCUCUGGAGACAGAGCUUUCCCUUCGGGGACUGGGGUGACAGGUGGUGCAUGGUUGUCGUCAGCUCGUGUCGUGAGAUGUUGGGUUAAGUCCCGCAACGAGCGCAACCCUUGCCUUUAGUUGCCAUCAGGUAAAGCUGGGCACUCUAGAGGGACUGCCGGUGACAAACCGGAGGAAGGUGGGGAUGACGUCAAAUCAUCAUGCCCCUUAUGUCUUGGGCUACACACGUGCUACAAUGGCCGGUACAACGGGCAGCGAACCCGCGAGGGGGAGCGAAUCCCUAAAAGCCGGUCCCAGUUCGGAUUGUGGGCUGCAACUCGCCCACAUGAAGCUGGAGUUGCUAGUAAUCGCGAAUCAGAACGUCGCGGUGAAUGCGUUCCCGGGUCUUGUACACACCGCCCGUCACACCAUGAGAGUCGGCAACACCCGAAGCCAGUGGGCUAACCUUUUGGAGGCAGCUGUCGAAGGUGGGGCCGAUGAUUGGGGUGAAGUCGUAACAAGGUAACCA